UAUAUUUUAGUGUAUUAUGGCACAAGAAUUUUUGAAGUUCUUAGUAUUAGUUAGAUUCUAAUAAAUAUAA
Molecule: transfer RNA, 70 nt
Filed under: Pseudoglomeris montshadskii
Lineage: Eukaryota; Metazoa; Arthropoda; Insecta; Blattodea; Blaberidae
Description: tRNA-Gln
Source: RNAcentral